This 301-nucleotide ribosomal RNA is filed under the name uncultured bacterium. Its description in RNAcentral is "partial 16S ribosomal RNA". It matches the Rfam family "Bacterial small subunit ribosomal RNA", at positions 509 to 809 of the family's 1533-position model. The record is from RNAcentral.
CAGUCGCCGCGGUAAAACGAAGGGUGCAAGCGUUAAUCGGAAUUACUGGGCGUAAAGCGUGCGUAGGCGGUGAGUUAAGUCUGCUGUGAAAUCCCCGGGCUCAACCUGGGAAUGGCAGUGGAUACUGGCUCGCUAGAGUGUGUCAGAGGAUGGUGGAAUUCCCGGUGUAGCGGUGAAAUGCGUAGAGAUCGGGAGGAACAUCAGUGGCGAAGGCGGCCAUCUGGGACAACACUGACGCUGAGGCACGAAAGCGUGGGGAGCAAACAGGAUUAGAUACCCCAGUAGUCCCUGUCUCUUAUAA